This 4036-nucleotide long non-coding RNA is filed under the name Canis lupus familiaris (dog). RNAcentral describes it as "lncRNA (ENSCAFG00030022168.1)". Lineage: Eukaryota; Metazoa; Chordata; Mammalia; Carnivora; Canidae. The record is from RNAcentral.
UGUAUUGAUAUGUGCGGUGGGAGUGGAGUGCAGGAGGACUGGAGUUCACAACUUCUCAGCAAAGUGUUACACCUCUCAGAACGGACAUCUAGACCACACAGUUACCCUUUUGCUAUGGAUGGGUGUGUCUUCCUCAGUUCUCACUUUGUAGAGCUGCACUUUUUAAAGUUCAGCUCAGACAGCUGCUGGCACAAAGAGGGCCAUACUGAAGACUCCAUGGAGAGAGUAAGAAUGUUCUCCCCUGUGUCUGAUGUAUUAAUAUGCUUGAUAUGGUGACUCAGCAGCUGGUAGGAAGUUGACGCUCUCAGAGGUUAUCAGUGGAUACUUCCACCAUCACUCAGCAGUGAUAAAGGGAAUUUAUGUAAGUGAUUGCUUUGUGAACACAGCAGCAGUCCACAAUAAUAUCUGCUUCCUAACCCCACGACAAGACUCAGUGAAGAUGUUAAAUGUGGAUAAUGAAUUUAUAAUAGAAAUCUUGGAACAGGACAACGUUUUGUACAGAGUAGGAACAGUAAGCUCUUCUUAACUGCCCAGACCUACUAGAGCCUCUUUCUCAGCCCUUUUUUCUGAGCUUGUUUUCUAAGCCAAUCCCUGGGUUUUGACUUUUGAGAAUGAAACUCCGUUUUCCCAACCCCCGGUCAUUCUCCACCCCUUUUCUUACUUCCUACGCCCCCACAACACCUCUCCAACACAACCAUGCUCUUUCCCUGCCCUAUGCUUCUGGCUGACUUGACCCAACUUGAUUCUCAGAGCAGAUCGCCUCAGCCCAUUCAUUGUUCCUAGACCUGCUUUAUGUGGGGCAGUCUUAAAAAACCUCACAAUACCACUUCCUUUCAGAAAUGGGUUGCUGAUAAUUGUCAUUCAUAUUUACUAUAUGCCCCAGCAUGUGUAUUGGGCACCACAGAAAGACAUGAAGGGGGUGUCUAUCCCACCCUGGGGAGUCUUGGUCACAGAGGACCUCUAGGCUGGUAAAAUUCCUCUCCUUUAAGUUUGAGCAGCACUUGGAACAAGCAAAUUGCAUCCAAGAAAUAUGAAUUUGUAGAGAGAUUGUCAGUUAUCAUCUUACUGUGAAAAACACUACUGGCAAGACACUUAGGUCUUCUGGUUGACAAGUUGCAUUUCUGGUUAGAAAAACCAUCUGAAAACAUGUCCAGUGAUUUGUUUAGUAUGUAGAGCCCAAAUUUAAGAGAACUGGGUGUCUUGUAUGGGACAUUCUGUGAAAUGAAGACAAAACCUAGUGACUUUUCUUUGCUUCUAGAGCUCAUCUUUAUAGUAAUCUGGAUGAGUCCAAAUGCUGCAAAUUAGCAGUUCUUAUCUCCAUAGAUAAUGAAGAUCAGAUCCUAAAGCAACUGUUUUCAAGGCCUAGUGACUUUCUCUUUGAGCCUGGUGAUCUCUUGAUAUUGAAAUUAUGUUUCUCUGAGCAUUUAUCUAUUGGCAUAUACACAGGAAAGUAACUGAGGACUUAGACACAAUAAUUUUGCUUUGGAAAUCACACUCUAGCAGGUAAAUAAUAAGCCUGAAAGAUAGAAGGUGCUCUGUAAAUAUGAAAAACCCAAUGAUAAAUAAAUGAGUACAAAUAAUUCAAAAUUAACUAAAAAUUUUUGAAAAACUUUAUGAAAAAUAGAUUCAAAAGUGGCCAUUCUUUGGGUCUAAUUCUUUUAAGAAGAAAGUAGUUUUAUAGAACUAGUAAUGAAUAACAGUUGAUACAUCAUUUAUUGAAAGGUUUCACAUGCAAGGGAUGACUCAUUAAGGUGGAGAAUCCCACACUGUUCACUUGGAAUCUAAUUUGCAAGACUUUCUGUUCAGUAAAGCCCAGUAGUAACAUGGCAGGGAUAAAAAUCUUCCAAAUCAAAUUGAGCACGUACUCAAAGCUUCUCUUUCUUCCAAUUAUAAAGUGAAAAAGAGCUCUUGGAAAGAAGAAAAGUAAAGAAGAAUAUGUAGGGUGCCUUGCUGUGUGUGCUUCACACGUUCAAACAUAUCUUUUCAAUAAGGACCAAAUGUCAUUUUCAGACAUAACCCUUAGUCAGUUUUGUUAAUGUAUACUCGUUGUGAAGCCAUAAUCACAAACUCUAUUUGAAUGAAAUGGCCUUAUUAUACAUGAGUUGCCAUGCUUUGUACCACAUGAUGGUGUUACCAUGAGCAAAGCUGCUCUGUGGCCAAGGACCAGCCAUUGAGCCAAAGGCAGUCAUUUAUAGUCUGGCCAGCAGCUUAUGAGUUGGCUGGAGUCAUAACAAUGCAUACUAAGGAUGUUCCUUUAGCACCCAAUGCAUGCUGCAUUCUGACACUUUCUCUCAGGGAGUUCAACUAAAAGAUAGAUGCAGCUGGUGGAAAGGAAAACCUGAAGGCCCAGAAAUAAGGCAGUAAACAGAAGCCUGAGACCACAAAGGCACAGAGACAGUUUUCAAUGGUAUCAUAGCAGGUGAGAACAGUAAAGGCAGGAGUGCUGUCCAAAAUGGUGGAACGCUAGAGUAGAGGAUGAAUGAUGUGUCUUGUUGAUGGAAUGUGAAAAUAAAGGCCAAUCAAAUGACAGCAAGCAAAAGCUAUUUGUUCUGAGUUUGCUAUAGCAAGGGAGACUGCCAUGUCACUUGCAGCCUUUGACAGGGACUCAAAGCAGGCAGAGGAGUGGGGGAAACUUUAUAGUAGAUGAAAGAGAAGGCUUCUGGUGUGCCCUCAUUGAGGCCUUUGGCAAGGGGAACUACUGGUGGGCUAACUAGAAGUAGGACAUUCUGUUAGGGGUUAGGGGUGCAUAUUUGGCUUUCUCUGAUUUACCCUAAGUUGGGAGCAGGAACAAAAAUUAGGGCAGACAUUGAUUAUUAAUUAAGCCCUGGACAUUUUGGGCUGAUUGUUACAGAAAUUAUUGUUUAACUUCCUGGGUUGCCACCAGAAAUGGCAAUCUGGCUUCCUUCAAGUGAGACAUAAUUGGUUGUUCAUUGCAGACAAGGGGUUGGCUUCCUGGGAAAAGGACUGUAGGUUGCCAGCCAAAGGUCUAGUUUUAUAUAUGGUCUAGCCAUUGUCCAUUUGUAUGUUCAGUCCUUAAGGAGUCUAGCUGUUGUGUCUGUAGUCCCAUUCUCCAGAGGGCCUGCCUCUGCAGUUGUUGAAAUUGUUUCCAAUAUUUUCUGCUUUAAAACUGUUUCUGUUUGGGGCACCUGGGUGGCUCAGUUGGUUAAGCAAAUGACUCUUGGUUUCGGCUCAGGUCAUGAUCUUGGGAUCAUGAGAUUGAGCCCCCCAUCAUGCUCAGUGCUCAGCCAGGAGUCUGCUUGAGAUGCUUUACCACCUCCCUCUCCCUCUACUCCUCCACACUGUUCCAGCACUCUUUCUCUCUCUCAAAUAAAUAAAUAAAUAAAUACAGUCUUAAAAAAUAAAAACAAAAGACUGUUUCUGCUUUUAAAAUUAGGAUUGUCUGAAGUUUAACAGAAAAAUCCCAUAUGCUGGAAAUGCCCUCAGUUCCAGGCAAACCGGGAUGGUCAGUGGAAGUACCUAUUAAUAUCCUUUCAGUAGUCCUAAUUAACUGAGUUAAUAAGCAAGGCAUUGGUGGUUUUUAACAUCUCAUCAUGUUCAUCGCUCUCUAUCCCUCGAAAUAUAAAACAGCCUAACACAAGGCAAAAUGAUAGCCUCAUUUUUAACAAGCGAGGUAGUGAAAACUCCAUUACUCUCGGAUCAUUUGCACAUGAGUGCAAUAGAAUGCUGCAUUGGGAAUUAGGAGGCCUGCCUUUGCUGCCGGCCAGCUCUGUGACCUUGCAUACAUCGCAGAGGAGCAGAAUGGUAACGUGUGCACUUUCUGGAGACUUGGUCUCAACAAUUUGUUCACUAUAGCUUUGGGAAAGUCACUUUACUUCAGAGCCCACAUUUUCUCAUUUGCAAAAUAGAGAUUCUACUCAUCUAGCUUUUAGGAUCAUUAUAAGAAGUGUAUAAAAUUACAUAUGUAAAACAGCUAUCCCAUUGCCUGGUGUGUAAUAUGCUUCAAUAAAUCUAUACAUUUUGCAAAUAUAUUUUUCUUGCUAAUACCACUGAUCAGGGCCUGAGUUGUGCCCCCCUC